CAGUUUUAGAGGACAGAAGUAUGGGAGAAAAAGAGUAUGGCUUUAGAUAGCUGUCUUGGGAUUUGGUGCACUGACUAUCUCUACCUUCUAUGCUGGUAGGUAAAGCUCAGCUGCUCUUGGGCUCAGUCAGGAGAAGUGGGCCAUUCAGUGCAUGCUGUUUGAUGGUUUUCUUUCCUCCCAUUGCAGGGGAAGUGCCCUAGGCUUAAGGCAGGAUGUUCUGGUGGUGACAGCCAGUUCUGUCGCAGGCUGUUGCACAGUCUUAAGGGAUGCUAGGUUGCUGCCUGCCCUCUUCCUGGUGGUAUAUGUAUCAGGCAGAGAUGUGUUAAUCAGCUUUAUGAAGUUUGACCGUAGCGAGCCUCCUGCCUGUAUUCAGUCAAUCAGCGUUCGGCCUGAUGGUGCAGUUCUCCUCUUCUCUGUUCCACUGGUUGAGUUCAUUGUUCCAAUAUCCUUGGUGGAGUCGUCCGGGAAGGGAUCUGCACGAGGUCAGAGUGCCUCUGUUUCAUCCUUCUCGUAA
Molecule: long non-coding RNA, 514 nt
Filed under: Anser brachyrhynchus (Pink-footed goose)
Lineage: Eukaryota; Metazoa; Chordata; Aves; Anseriformes; Anatidae
Description: lncRNA (ENSABRG00000021571.1)
Source: RNAcentral